UUUUCUCUCGAUAUUUAAAGUUUCUCAUGGUUGAGGAUAAUAUUUUUGUUUACUGCGUUGUAGUGUUGGAGUUUUAUGUGCUUACCAUAUUGUUUUCUUUGCUUCUAAAAUACUUGUAUAUGCAGUAGUUUGAACAUUUUGUUCGUUGGGUUACUUGUGGGUUACACGUUCAAAAUGUGGUCAUUAGACAAUGAUAAAGACAAGGCUAAAUUGUUCAACUUCUUGAUGUUGCCUUCUUUGUGAUAUUUACUAUUCUUUGAUGUUUUGUUUCAAUUUAUUGAAAGAGGUAGGUAGCUUUGAAAAAAAGAUUGUGUAUUUGUAUUGAUUUGAGCAUGAAGAAAUUGCCAGGAACUUGAAAACUGCAGAAAGGAAACACAACAACAAUAAAGUUUUAAUCUCAAAUUUUUUAGGUCGGCUACAUGAAUCAUACUAUUUCAUUUGAGAUUUCAGUCCAGUGUUAUAUCACAUUAACCCGCAUGAUGUCCUUAAACGCUUUUCUCCAAGUUUUCUUAGCUCUACUUCUGGUACAUGUUGUAGUCUUCGUUGCACUUGACCAACCGAACUUAUCUCUAUUGACUCUCGCUUUAUCUUCAAUUGGAGUAACAUCUGACCUCUCACUAAUGCACUCAAUUCCUAUAUAUGUAUGCUACAUUUAAUAGAAAUGAAGAAGAUGUUAUUGCCAAAGGGUAAGACACAUUCAAAUGGCUCCCUGAAAAUUUUUGUAGGUACUGUCAAUCAGUUGAUCUAUGGUAGCUUCCACUAAUAGUCCAUAGAGGAUAGAGGACAAAGAACACUGAAACCAAUCUUAUGUGUCAUACAUGAGCUUCAAUAAUUGAGUGUUCUCUCUUGAUGAAUCCACUAGAUUCUUUUAUGUCAAAUAGAGUAGGCUAACAUAACAAAUGUGUUUGCACUCAACCCAAAAACUAACCAAAUAUUUCAGUCCAAGAUGUUGUUUAAUAUGGAGUGAAGAAUUCACAUGGACUAAAUUACCAGAUUGGUAUUAAAAAUAGCACCUAAUGAUCAGAUUGGUAUUAAAAUUAUCUACGGCACAAAGGCAUUUAAAACUUACACGAUGAGACAAAUAGGCCCAAAAAUGUAUUUUUAGCUAACUUUUCUAGCAACAACUCAUAUAAUUUGUCACAUGAUGCUUAUGUGGUAUAUUUAUGAUAACAUAACAGCUGUAGUUAGCCUAAUUCAAACCAUUAGAUGGGUAUAUUUUUAAGUUAGUGUAAAAACAAGGAGGAUUUUUUUAAUUUGGGAGCUUCUUCUCCUUCUUCUAUCAAAUUAGGGUUCUCCAUUGCUUGAGAACAUGGAUUCCUUCAGCUCAAGAAAUGAAGAACCACCAAUUUGAAGAAAGGAGGAGGAGUAGUCCCAAAUUUUAAAAAAUCCAUCUUUUUUUUAACCCUAAUUUAAAAUUUACUCCUAAUGGAUUGAUACUAACUACAGUUGUCACGUCAUCAUAAACAUGUCAUCUAAGCACUUGUGACAGACUGAAUGGUCGCCGGAAAAUUUAUUUUUGAGCCUAUUUAUCUCAUCGUGCAAGUUUAAAUACUUUGGUGUCGCCGGAGAUAAUUUUAAUACCUUGUUGGUCAUGGGGUACUUCUUUUAAUGUCAAUCUGGUAAUUUAGCCAAUUCACAUGUUAUAAAAUAUACACCAGAAAUUCCAGAGCUUAAUAUCCGAAAAAACAUUGUUUGCAUUGGCUUCAAUGUGUCAUUUGGCCUGCCUUAGAAGCAACUUUCCCAUCAUAUCUGCACUUGACUUGUAUUAAACUUUAGCUUCACAAAAAUUCAGUUCUCCACAAUACUUGUGACUUUUGACAAAAUCCAGGACACCUUGAAAAUGCAAAAGCUAAAUUCAUGAAUCUGAUGAAUGCUUUAAUCUCUUACUAGAACAAAGCUAGUCAAACCUGUCAUUAUAGAAUCUGGACCCAAACUUUUCUUCUCAUUUUGCUCUCUUGAAGGGCGUUUUAUCAAAUCAAAUAGAGAGGAAGGCUAACUUCUGAAAAUGGCCAGCUAAGUCUAUGAAAAAAUUAAAAAGUUUGAUGAGAUAUCGAUGAGACCUGAAAAUGAUUGGUAAAGCAUUGAUUUGAAGCUUACAGUCAGCAAGUUUUAUCACAAUGUGCAGUUCAAUUUGCAAGAUUCAUCCUCUACUUCACAUGGAAUUCCAAGCUAUUGGCACUUUUCACUUAAGUUAUGGGAAUGUACCGAAAACAUAAAUACCCUAUUAAAUUUUGUAUUAAGAACAAAAAGUUUUAACUAAGAAAACCAAAGCACCAUAAGUACAAUUUGCAUACGAACAACUUGACUGAAGUACAGAAAAAAUGUAGAGAUAAGAUAGAAAAGGAAGAUGACAACAAAAAUCUGAAUGAUUUAACCUUUAUUCUUCAUCCACUGGAUAAGGUUCAGAGAUUCACUAAUUGAAGGGUAAUAUGAGAGUCAUAUUUAGUUGAUAGAGGUACAAUUAUAUAAAAAUUUUCAUGUGUCAUAAUUCUUAAGUAAAACAGGUUUACGUUGGUAUUUUAUGAUUUCACAAGCUCAGGAUAGUUUGUAUUGUAUGAAAUGUACCCUAACGAGAAUAAAGCUAAAAUCAAUUGUGACAAGUCAUUUAACAGUAAUUUUCAGAAAUUAGUAGUUCAACGGAACAAGAACCUAGAAACUAAAGAUAAUAGCUGCUGACGUAAGCACGCUGAUCUCUGCAUAUUAAAGUCAAUGAUCCAGACUGGCCUAAAGUAUUAUUAGUCACAGGAUCAUAGCAACAAGUUGCAGAAAUAUAAUUACAAUGUUCCCUCAGAUCAGCAUUCACUAAGCUGGAGCCUAUCAGCUUAAAUACUUGCCCAACUUGUACCAUUUUCAUACAGCCACAAUUUUCAGUCUGAAUUUAUACCAAAAGAAGUUAUAGAAGAAGCAGACUCAGGUUUCCUACGCAGGAGAGAUGAUGCCAUUGCUCAUUGGAGAAGCAAAGGAAAAGGGAAAAAAAAGCAUCCUUUGUUUAGAAAAGACGGUGGCAUCAUCUCUCUGCGAAGGUAACAUGAAAGCAUUUGCUCUUUUGAGUUGCUAAGCAGUUUCAGGGAAAAUAUUUCUUGACCUGAAGAGCAUGCAAUAAGGUUUUUAAUUUAGCAGCAGCGGAGCUCUACUGUCAAGAAUGCUGAGGUUACAAAGAGGAAGAGUGUGUUGAAUAGGAGUGUGGGUGGAGCCUGUGUUGUUGUGCUGUUUCAACUUCUAUCCAAAGUAUUACAAUAUAAAUAUGUGGUUGAAUAUGGAUGAAUAUUGUCUUGUUUCCACUUAUUAUUGUCCAUGAUAUUAGGUUUUUUCCCCCUUUUUGUUUGAGGGAUCAGUUUUGAUGAGAAUUAUCAUAUUCAUUAUACUUGUAUCCCCCCAUUCUGGAGUUUGUUUCAUUAAUUUCUUUUUAAUGGAUCGUUGGAGAGCGAUGCUUCACA
Molecule: long non-coding RNA, 3437 nt
Organism: Asparagus officinalis (garden asparagus)
Lineage: Eukaryota; Viridiplantae; Streptophyta; Magnoliopsida; Asparagales; Asparagaceae
Exons: 2
Source: RefSeq, a predicted model, not a curated record